RNAcentral lists this long non-coding RNA (2168 nucleotides) under Zostera marina. RNAcentral's name for it is "long non-coding RNA (ZMAR_LNC004608)". The record is from RNAcentral. Lineage: Eukaryota; Viridiplantae; Streptophyta; Magnoliopsida; Alismatales; Zosteraceae.
CAAAAUCUAUUUCCCUCAUUUCUCAUUUCCCCCAAUAUCUCCACACCGGAUUUUUCAUUCCCACUUCAAUCUCCACACGCUGGAUUACAACUCAGACUCAUACGAUUCUCAGACUACGCCGUGUUUCAGUCUACGUCGUGUUUCAGUCUUAGACGAUUCUCCACACUCGUAAUAGCAUCUCAGAUCCACACUAUGCCGGAUUUCUGUAUUACGUCGCAACUCAGACUCCACGAAUACGCCAGAUCUCCACCUUCAUUGUCGUUCAGUCUCAGAGGUGGGUAAAUCGUAAUCUUCAGGUCUCCACUUCAUUGUCGUUCAGUUUCGACACGAUAAUUCCCCCAAAUUUUUGUUUAAACAAAGUUGUCUAAAAUUUGUUUCUUGCAGGUUAGUAUAACAAUGCUUCUUCAAGAAAUUGAUUUAUUUAUGUUCUUCUGAAUCAGUGAACGGAUUACAAAGGUGUUCCUAAGGUAACAAAGGAAUAUUCUUCUUAUAUUUUAUGAUAUCAAUAACUAGUUUAGAAGUUUCGUUUGGAAAGCACUUCUAUAAAAACUAAAUUAGUUUAGAAGUUUAGAUAAUUUAUGCAAUAAAACUAUAUGGGAAGCCAAGAUUCCAACCUCUUGCUAGGGCCCUCACAAUUUCAAGAUUGACAGAUGUCACCUGAAAACAGAGAAUAAACUGAAUACAUGCAAGUGGGAGAUUUGUAAGUGGGUACUGCAAUGGGCUUGGAUCUAGCUAGAUGCAAGUGGGAGAUUUGUACACCUAACAAACAUCAAUUGAGAUCUGUAGAGAAAUCUCUGGAACUCUGGAUUAUGUUCUUAGAGUAAUUAAGUGAAAUGAAUAAACUAAUUUCUCUUGGGUCUUGACCUAGGCUUGGUGAUCUUGGGUCUUGCCUGGUAGGACAGCCCAAUAAUAAAGGAUUUGGUUAGGAUUUUAUUUAUUGUCAUGAUUGAUUUUUUUUACGGUUUGAUUUGUUGUUUUUAUCAUGGAUUCUUAGAUCAACUUUGUUUUCAUGAUUUGAUGUUAAUAAAUAUUCCAAAUAAAUAUUUAUUUAGAUCUGUCUUAAAUAUGUCUGUUAAUGUUUAUUUAGAACUCUAAAGGUCAAACUGUCUUAAAUCUGUCAUAAAUCUAGUCAUUUUAAUACUGUCUUAAAUCUGAUUUUUCUAUAUUGUGCUCAGUCUCAGUGUAGUAUGAAUUUACUAUUAUAUGGCUUGUAAAGGACAAACUAAAUUACUAUUACUAUUUUUUUUGAAGCAUUAUUACUACUACUAUUACUAUUUACUCUUGCAGUAUUUAUCUGUGUUUACAAAAAAAUAUCCUGCUGCACACCACGGAGAUCUUAUUUUGCUGCACACUUUCAUAUGAGUUUGUUUUUUGUUUGUAUAUAUAUAUAUUUUAAGUGUUCUGCUGAUUUUUUACCUUUAGAAUUUGAAAUGAUUGGUUGAUUAUUUUUUUCUUUUUCAGAUUGAUUAAAAACAGAAUAUAAAAGGCAAAAAAGGUAUGUUGUCAUUUUUUUAAUUUUAAGAUUUUAUAUUUUAUCUGGCGAGUAAUGUUUUAUUCAAUUAUUUAAAAUCAAAUAUUUUAUGAUAGUAAUUUUAUAUUAUUGCAUGCUUCCUUACAUUGCUAUAAUUAGUUAGAGUUAGUUAUUUUUUGUAUAAGUUUUUCGAAUACUCAUUUUAAUACCUUUUUCAUUUAAAUAUUGAUUUUUAAGAGGUUUUUUUUUGUAUGUUAGGAGAUAGACUAAAAUGGCUGAUCAGAUAGUGGGGCUUCACAAAUCAUGGUUGUUUGAAAGUUCAACAUCAAUUAAAUUUCAAAGUGGAUCGAAUAGUUUUUUAGAUUUUGCUAAAAUCUAUUCAAACCACACGAUGGAGCCUGGAUUAAAACUACCAUGUCCUUAUUCUAAGUGUCACAAUGACAGAUAUUAUGAUCGUAAGACCAUUAGUGAGCAUGUCAUAAUACGCUUUAGUUUUGAUGAUGCAUAUAGGUAUAAAACAUGAUAUAUGCAUGGAGAAUUGAUUCUAGGUUCGAGAGCAUAUAUAAAAGCAUUGAAACGCAAGAGACGUGUGUACUCGUCAAUCAAUCACAUUCUAAAGUAUUUAAAAUUAUUUGAACUAGGUGUGUACUGAUAUGACAUGGCAUGAAGAUCAUCGUUUGAGAGAUGGCGUAAUUCG